Trichobilharzia regenti is the source of this 46-nucleotide non-coding RNA. The record is from Rfam. NCBI's taxonomy places the organism in Eukaryota, Metazoa, Platyhelminthes, Trematoda, Strigeidida, Schistosomatidae.
GUACUGCUGAAUAGUCGCAAACUAGGACGAAACAGCUGUCCAGUAC